Molecule: ribosomal RNA, 468 nt
Filed under: uncultured bacterium
Lineage: Bacteria
Description: partial 16S ribosomal RNA
Rfam family: Bacterial small subunit ribosomal RNA
Source: RNAcentral
GACGAACGCUGGCGGCGGGCUUAACACAUGCAAGUCGAACGGCAAGGCCCUGAGUUUGUGGGGUGCUCGAUGGGCGAACGGGUGAGUAACACGAGAGUAACCGGACCUGGACUUUGGGAUAACUUCAGGAAAGUGGGGCUAAUACCGGAUAGGAGCUCCUGCUGCAUGGUGGGGGUUGGAAAGUUUCGGCGGUUGGGGCUGGAUGGGCGGCUUAUGAGCUUGUUGGUGGGGUAGGGGCUUACCAAGGCUUUGACGGGUAGCCGGCCUGAGAGGGUGACCGGCCACAAUGGGACUAAGAUACGGCCCAGACUCGUACGGGAGGCAGCAGUGGGGAAUAUUGCACAGUGGGCGGAAGUCUGAUGCAGAAACGCCGCGUGCGGAAUGACGGCCUUCGGGUUGUAAACAGCUGUCGCCUGAGACGAAGCGUGAGUGACGGUAAUGGAUAAAGAAGCACCGGCUAACUACGUG